Long non-coding RNA from Micropterus dolomieu (smallmouth bass), 980 nucleotides. RefSeq lists it as uncharacterized. The record is from RefSeq and is a predicted model, not a curated record. The transcript is spliced from 2 exons. NCBI's taxonomy places the organism in Eukaryota, Metazoa, Chordata, Actinopteri, Centrarchiformes, Centrarchidae.
GAAAAAAAGAAAGCGAGGAGGUUGAACUACCUGCACAAAGAGGAAAUUCCAUACUGAAGACUAAGUUUUGAAGAACGCUUUAGGAAGGGAUCUCUUUGUAUCCAGUAUGGACAGGAGGGAUGAUUGCAAGUGUUACGCUCAGUCUAGAGGCCUAGACGUAACAUGAAACUACCCCCAUCUUCCCCAAGUCCCAAGGAGCCACAUAAACACAACUUGGACUAUUACACAAGAUCAAACAGUGGCCUGUUGGGAGAGGAGGAAGAUGCCAAGAUGCCCCAGCCAGCCGCUGCCAUCUUCUCUGCUUUUUGCCUACAGGAGCAGCCAAUCAUCCCCCACCAGCUGGAACCGCAGCCACCAAUCCCCCACCGAGCAGAGACAUAAGCCACCAAUCAUAAUGACGUUAUGGGACAGACUUAUUUACAUAAGAAACAGGACAGGAAUCAAUAAACACUGUACAUAUCCCAAAGUUUACAAAUUAUGACCACAGUCGUAACAGCAUGGAAGAAAAACCUUUAAAUGUACAUACAGACGUGUGAGUGUUGUAUUAAGAUAGACUUGGUAUUAAGAUAGACUUGGAAACGUGUGACCCUUUAACUAAACCAUGGGAUGGAUGAAAGUUCAUGAAGAUUGACAGGUGUUGGGACAGGAUCUUUAUCAAAAGAUGGGACUAACAAUAAGGUAGGAACUAAAUAAAGGCAGUCCAAAGCCUGAGUGCAUUCUUCACUCAUUAAAUUGCGCUUCCUGUCUAAAUGAAUGUGCAUGAUGAUGUGAAUGUUAACAGCCAAUCAGUCUGAAAACAUACAGUGAUGCUUUGCCUAGCAUCAGUUUUGUAGUUUGGAUUCAAACUCCAUCAUUGGAAAUUACAGGUUGCUUUCUAUGCCGAAUACUAUGAAAACAGCUUCUAUUCAGUGGAAAUAGUUCCCUAUCUGUUCCACAGCUGUGCCACUCUCUGCUUUAUUACAGUUAACUGUCUGACAGUA